GAGAAUGAUCUGGCUAUGACAUCUACCAACUCAUUGAUCACCAGGGAAAAUUUAGCUGGUUUGGCUGGAACAAUUUUUGCUUUCAUUAACAAAUACUUAAUAAGUGCCUAUUACAUGCCUGGCACUGUGCUAGGCUGGAAGGGUGCCUUCUCCUCCUUCACAGCCUCCUGUACCACGUCCCCCUGAAGUUGUGCACUCAGCCGAAUAGUAUGACCUUUCCAUAUAGAGAAGGAUCACCCUGUGGCCAAUGAUCUACAAGUAGCUGUCUUCCUAAUGGAAGUCUAUUAACAAGUCCUAUCUGGAAACACUUCCUUCCUUGAUGCCUUUCAAGGUGCAAUCAGGA
Molecule: small nuclear RNA, 343 nt
Filed under: Loxodonta africana (African savanna elephant)
Lineage: Eukaryota; Metazoa; Chordata; Mammalia; Proboscidea; Elephantidae
Description: 7SK RNA
Rfam family: 7SK RNA
About the family: 7SK was discovered as an abundant small nuclear RNA in the mid-70s but a possible function has only recently been suggested. Two independent studies have found that 7SK RNA binds the CDK9/cyclin T complex (known as elongation factor P-TEFb).
Source: Rfam by way of RNAcentral